This is a long non-coding RNA of Sebastes umbrosus (honeycomb rockfish), 2348 nucleotides long. RefSeq lists it as uncharacterized. NCBI's taxonomy places the organism in Eukaryota, Metazoa, Chordata, Actinopteri, Perciformes, Sebastidae. The record is from RefSeq and is a predicted model, not a curated record. The transcript is spliced from 2 exons.
UGCUAGCCAGCUUGCUAAGGGGCUAGGAGCUAAUACUAUUAGAGCUAAUAAUGGGAUAAAGGUUAGGCUAACUGUGGCUGUGCUACAAUGUCUGGGUUUAAGGGUUAACAAACUAAAUAAGGUGACUCUGUUUUCACAUCAGCAUUCAUAAAAAACAAGCUGAGACUGAGUCAGGAUGUUGGACGGGUGUCAACAAGUCAGCUGAGCUCACUAGUCUGGGCUCCUUGGUGAAGCUAGUUGCUGUGUUGUGAUUGUGUUAGCAUGCUAAACCCAAACACAGCAUACACAUAUUUGCCUUAGAUUGUAUUUCUACCAAACUGUGGGAUCAUUUUACACUGAGUUACACUGAAGUAAACUUAAAAAACAUGUUGCAACAACACAUAAACAGUUUAACAUUACAAGACUGUGUUGUUGCAGGACACCUGUACAACAAGCUACAGGUGUCCUGCAAGUUGAAACUGACCUCCAACAUUUGGUACAAAGAGGUAAAACUGCAGCUGGCUCACUGACAAUGAGUACAAGGUCCUUUUAAACUUGCACAUCUACACAAAUACCUGUGCAUUAGUUAUUAUUGGUGGCAUAAACAAGUUAAAUGUAGCAUAUAACAAGCAUUUGAUGAUGCUUUCUGUUGUAACCAUCGGACAUGACUCAUACUGCAGCUUUAGAUGAUGCACAUUGUGAUAAAGUGACACACGCAUUGAUUGUAUCUGUGACCUCCUGUGACUGAGGCUGGAGAGACAUUUGUCUUGUGCAAAACUUUGUGCAACUUUGCAGGAAUUUCUCAAAACUGGCGGUUAGUGGUGGAGCAAUUUUUCAUUGGCUAAUCACAAGAGGGCAACUUUUUUUUGUUGUUGCAGCAUAUCGUGCAAUGUUUUCACAGUUUCAUGGCUUUGUUUGGAGUUGUGAUGGCUCUCAUGACAUUUUGCACACAUGCUCUUUCAGGUCAGCUCUCUCUCUCUCUCUGGUGACCAAUCAAAUUUCUCGUGAGACUAUGGCAGUCUGCUCUGUUUGGUCAAGUUAUUUUAAUUUUCACAAGUAAAAAAAAAAAAAAAAAAAAGAAAAGCUUUUUCAACAGGAUUUCAAGUUUUGGUUUAAUUUGAUACAUAUCUCCACUGGAGCUGAAACAAGUAAUCAAUUAGUUGAUCAGCUUCUCCUUUGUGAGGGAUUUUCUGCUUUUCUGUGUUUCAUAUCUUUAUAAACUGAAUAUAUUUAUGUUUUGGUCACCUUGGGCUUUAGGAAAAUGCCAGGCAUUUUUCACAAUUUUUAGACAUUUAAAAGAACAAACCGCUAAUCAACUAAUCAAGAAAACAACUGGUAUAUUAAAUGAAAAUGAACAUUAUUGUUAAAGAAACACAGAGUUACGAUGAAAAUCUCAAUAGCACAAGAAACUGGUGUAACCUUUACCAGGCAGGAGCUCUUAUACUACCAGUGUUGAUGUAAGCAAACCACUAGUGCAUAUGUCAUUGUGCAUUCAUAUUCAAGAUAAGACAAUGUCGUGACAGAAAAGUUCACAGUUUGUCAAAUUGGAUCUCAGUGUGCUGUGGGCAUCAGAUACCAGGCCUGGUGUCUGAGGAGGAAGUUGUUUUUUUUUGGGUUGGAACAUAACCUAAAUCUUCCUUCAAAAACACUAAAGAGAUGAAAAACAUGCUCCGCCAGCCAGUGACACAGAAGAGGGAGUGAAUGGUUGCGUGGGUGGUUCCUCCUUCCUCAGUCAUAAGACCGCUGCACCCAUUUCCACUUAGCUUCAUCAGGUGACUCCGGCAAGUCAUGUGCUGUGAAAUGUGCAUUCAGCAGACAGUGCGGGUUUACGGAGGAGCGCAGGGAGUAGGAAUAGACGCAGCUUGUGAGUUUUUUAUGUUAAAGGGGAAUGCCACAGAUUGAGUGUGUUGAAAGUAGAUUUUUUUUUCUUCCCACUUCAGUUUGCAGUAAUAAGCACUCACAAAAGCCAGAACAUGUGGAGAUAUAGUGAUUGGCUUGUUUGUCAUUUUGGUGUCAAAUCAUUUAUUCAGUGUGUGUUUUUUUUAGUUUUAAGCGAACAUUUAGUUGAGAUACCAGCCGCUGUCUUUUCACAGGUUUGGACAUACAUAUAUAUAUUUUUAUUUAACCUUUAUUUAAGCAGGUAGUACUCAUUGAGAUUAAGAAUCUCUUUUGCAAGAGAGACCUGGCCCAAGACAGCAGCAUUUAAACAAACAUUAAAGUUUUCAGACGCCACAACAUAAAACAAAUGCCAAAUAAAUACAUAGCAUAAUAUCAUACAAAACACAUUAAAAUCAAGUGUUUGAAGCAAAACGUUAAAGUGAGAAUAAUCAGAAACACACACAGCUCCCGAUUGACUCUGCUUCUAGGUC